This 467-nucleotide ribosomal RNA is filed under the name uncultured bacterium. RNAcentral describes it as "partial 16S ribosomal RNA". It matches the Rfam family "Bacterial small subunit ribosomal RNA", at positions 28 to 507 of the family's 1533-position model. The record is from RNAcentral.
GAUGAACGCUGGCGGCGUGCUUAACACAUGCAAGUCGAACGGAAGGGCCCAAGCUUGCUUGGGUACUCGAGUGGCGAACGGGUGAGUAACACGUGGGUGAUCUGCCCUGCACUUCGGGAUAAGCUUGGGAAACUGGGUCUAAUACCGGAUAGGACCUCUUCUUGGAUGUUGUGGUGGAAAGUUUUUUGGGUGUGGGGUGGGCUCGCGGCCUAUCAGCUUGUUUGGGGGGUAAUGGGCUACCAAGGGGUCGUCGGGUAGCCGGGCUGAGAGGGUGUACGGCCACAAUGGGAAGGGGAGUCGGGCCAGACCCCUAAGGGAGGCAGCAGUUGGGAAUAUUGGACAAAGGGGGGAAGGCUUAUGGAGCGAAGCCGCGUGGGGGAUGACGGGCUUCGGGUUGUAAACCCCUUUCGCUAGGGACGAAGCGGUUUGUGACGGUAACGGGAGAAGAAGCACCGGCUAACUACGUG